This is an RNA transcript of Lucilia sericata (common green bottle fly), 6354 nucleotides long. It is a transcript of the gene named homeotic protein spalt-major, with no coding region annotated. The record is from RefSeq and is a predicted model, not a curated record. The transcript has 5 exons. Lineage: Eukaryota; Metazoa; Arthropoda; Insecta; Diptera; Calliphoridae.
UCAGUGUAAGUUUGACGCGCGUGCUGAACGUAUCAUUAUUAAAACACAAGCGAGUAAAACUACAAAACAAGAAAAACAAAACAAAAGACGAAAUUUUUAUAAGUUAAGAAAUUUGAAAUUAAAGAAAAAAAAAACGUUUAGCACGAAACGGUUUAUAACAAACGUAAACACAAAUAAAUAUUUAUAUAAAAAAAAUUAUUAAUUAUAAAUUAAAAAAAACAAGUUAAAACAAACUUAAAAAGAAAAUUAUUUAUAACAAAAGAAAAAAAGCCGUCGGCAUAAGAAUUUAUUUACAAAAUUUAACAAAAAAAUACAAAACAAUUUUAUACAAACUGUUAAAACAAAAAACAUCUCGGAGAGUGAGAUGAGUGUAAAUUUUGUAACCCAAAAAAGAAGAAAAAGUGCGUAAUACAACAAAAUGAAAUGAGAGUUUAACUUAUAGAGUAGUAAUAGGCUCUCCCUCCCUACUUUUUCUACACAAACCCACUAUAACAACAACGUCUAUAGUUCUAUAUAUUUAUACUCAAUUAUAUAGAUAUUGAUAAUUAUUAAUACAGCAGCAACAACAACAACAAAAUGUUAUGAUGAAAACAUCAACAAUCUGGUGAAAAUAUAUAUUUUUUUUUUGAAACCAAACCUAAAAAAGACAAACCCAACAACUAUAAAACAUCAUUCAAACUUCAUCAUCAAAACACAACAUCAUAUCAAAAAAAUCUGCUCCUCUCUCUGUAUAAAAAAGGAUAUUUUUUUUUAACAAAUUAAUAAGUGUCAACAAUCAUAAACAUAAUAAUAAAUAAACAAAAUAUAUGUCAUAUAUUAAAAAUUAUGAAAAAAUAAUGACAGUUAAUUAAACAAAAACUAAUUUUAUUAAAGAAAUUAUUUAAAGAAAAAAAGAAUUUAAUUCUUUAACAAAAACACAAACAUGUUUUAAGUUUAAUAACAAAAAAAUAGUUUAAAAAUAUUUUGAAAACAACAAUAGUUAAGGCGUGUGUUUAACAAUAAGUUUAAUUUACCGCGCUUUAAAAAAAAGCUUUUUAAAGUUUUGAAAAGUUUUUAUUUUUGUUGCUUAAUUUCGUGUAUCUUCUCUAAUGAAAAAUAUUUUAUCAACUGUUUUGUGUGAAAUGAGAAGUGAUUUUAAGGAAACCCAUCAAGAAACCAUUAAUAAAAUGAUACAAUUUGGUACUGUCAAAUAUGGAAUUGUUAAACAAUUAAAAGAUCGUGCUAAAAGCACUGAAAAAGAUUCAGCCAGUGAUCAUGAGGAGAAUGGUACAUGUUCACCUUUGGCAGCCACAACCGCCAAUGAAGAUAGUGAUUGCGAUAGAGCAGAAUUAACUCAUAUGGCCACUAGUAAUGAACAUGUUAAUAAAAUUAACACAGCAACACCCGCCGAUAAACAACAACAGCAAGAGACUACUGCAGCAGCAGGCUCAAUAACAGGAGAAGAAGAUCUUAAUCAUAAUAAUAACAUAGUAAUGCCGUUGGAAGAACAACAGCAGCAGCAGGAGUUAAAGAUACAAUCUCCCUCGACAACAACAGAAGAAUUAAAUUCGGCUUUAACCCCCUCUAAAACAUAUCCAAAAGAUCAAGAAUUUCCCUCGCCCACACCACCCGAUCUCAACGAGAGUCAAGAACCCUUAAGAAAAGCUCAAGAGGCCAGCGAAGAAGCUAAAGAAAGCGAAACAUCUACACCGCAAGAGGAAGAAAAGGAAAACAUGUGCUUAACCACGGGUAAAUUGGAAAAUCCUGCCAACAAGGAUGAUAGCACAGAACAAGAGCAAAAUAAAGUGGCUCCAGCACAAGAAAUGGAAGAAGCUGCUGCCUCACUUAGUACAGAGAAAGCUGUAAACAAAGAUGUUGAAAUGGAGGUAGCCGAAUCCACUUCACCCUCAAUGCCUGCCGCUUUAGCCCAACAAUUUGGUGCUGCUCCUGUUAAUAUUGAAGCCAUUAAGAAUAUGCAAUUGGCCAUAGCCCAAGUGGCUGCCAAAACUAUUGCCAAUGGUGCUUCAGGGCAAGAUAAUGAGGCUGCUAUGAAACAAUUGGCAUUCCUGCAACAGACUCUAUUCAAUCUGCAGCAACAGCAACUAUUCCAAAUUCAACUCAUACAACAGUUGCAGUCGCAACUGGCCAUGAAUCAACCCAAAACGGGAGAGGAAACCAAUGAAAUGGAUGAAGAGGAAGAAGAAGAGGGUGAGAAUGGUGAGGAGGACACCUAUGAGGAGGAAGAGCGUAUAGCUCAAAUGGAAUUGAGACAAAAAGCUGAAGCCCGCAUGGCUGAAGACAAGGCUAGACAGCAUUUAAUAAAUGCUGGUGUUCCUUUAGAUUCACUUAAAAGAAAACGUGAUAGCGAAAACCCUGAAGACAUGGAUGUUUCUGCCUCACGACGCAUUAGUGUUGACAAAAGCUCAGAAUAUGCUUUGGAUAAACUUAAGGAUAUGGAAAACAGGCCCUUGCCUUUUGGCUCAAAUUUAGCCUCCUCCAUUAUAACUCAUCACGAUGAUAUGCCAGAACCCAACUCCUUGGACUUGCUGCAGAAAAGAGCUCAAGAGGUAUUGGAUUCAGCUUCUCAGGGUAUUUUAGCCAACAACAUGGCUGAUGAAUUUGCUUUCAAAGAGAAAAAUGGCAAGGCCGGCAAUGAACCUUUCUUUAAGCACAGAUGUCGCUAUUGUGGCAAAGUCUUUGGUUCAGAUUCUGCCUUACAGAUUCACAUAAGAUCUCAUACGGGCGAACGUCCCUUCAAGUGCAAUGUUUGCGGCAGCAGAUUUACCACCAAAGGAAAUUUGAAAGUGCACUUCCAAAGACAUGCCCACAAAUUCCCUCAUGUACCUAUGAAUGCCACCCCUAUACCAGAGCAUUUGGAUAAAUUCCAUCCUCCUCUGUUGGAUCAAAUGUCACCGGAUAGUUCACCCAGCCAUACACCUGCCGCCAUGCCACAACAAAUGCCCAGUCAAAUGCCAGCCAUGAAUUUCCCAGGAGCUUCUAACAAUUUUCCAGGAUUGGCUAAUCUCUACAGACCGCCCAUGGACAUAUUGAAGUCAUUGUCAGCUUCAUCCGGUGCCGCUGGAUUCAGCAAUCCUUUCUUCCCUCAGGUUCCUGGUAAUUUGGGUGAAGCAGCUGUACAAGCUCAAGCAGCAGCCCAAGCUGUUUUGAAUAAAAAUCAGGAAAUUCCCACGGAUUUGAGUAAAACCUCAGAGCCCAGUUCUCCUGUCAACACACAAAUAAAGUCAGAGAUCUGCGAGGAAAAGGAGGAAGAGGAACCAGAACAAAUGGCCACCAAACCAGACACCAUAGUAGAAGCACCCAAAACAUCAACUCCUACUCCCUUGGAUAUUAAGAUCAAAGAAGAGAAAGAUGAUUGUGAAAUAGUACAAGAUGAUAUGGAAGAAGAUAGAGUACACAGUCCCCUACCAGCACCAGCCACAGUCAGUCCCGCCAUUUCUACACACUCACCUUCGUUAAUGAGUUCCCUACCCCAAGUACCUAAUAGCCCGCCUGUACCCACCUCAAAACCACCCACCACACAACAAUUACCGCCGGUAGUACAACCCAUACAACCACCUGCCAUUUUACAUCCACAACCUUCACCGGGUUCUCAACAUCAUUUGGAUCAUCUGCCCACACCAGGACAGCUGCCACCAUCUAUGCAUCAUCGUGAUGACUUCUUUGCCGAACGUUUCCCCCUGAACUUUACCAAAACAUUGUCACCCGAAAGACACUCACCCAUAAGAUCGCCAGCACACAUACCACGUGCUCCCUUCUUUAAUCCUAUGAAACCUCAUGAUAUGGCUUUAUUGCCUCGACCCCAUAGCAAUGACAAUUCCUGGGAGAAUUUCAUAGAGAUUUCGAAUUCUUCGGAGACCAUGAAGUUGAAGGAAUUGAUGAAGAAUAAGAAAAUCACCGAUCCCAAUCAAUGUGUGGUGUGUGAUCGCGUUUUAUCCUGCAAAAGUGCUCUACAAAUGCACUACCGCACCCAUACCGGCGAGAGACCUUUCAAGUGUCGCAUUUGCGGUCGUGCUUUCACCACUAAAGGUAAUUUGAAAACUCACAUGGCUGUGCAUAAAAUAAGACCGCCCAUGCGUAAUUUCCAUCAGUGUCCAGUGUGUCAUAAGAAAUACUCCAACGCUUUAGUGUUGCAACAACACAUACGCCUGCAUACCGGAGAACCCACUGAUUUGACACCCGAACAAAUACAAGCAGCUGAAAUACGAGAUCCUCCACCAUCUAUGAUGCCAGGUGCUUUUAUGAAUCCUUUUGCUGCCGCCGCUUUCCACUUUGGCAUGCCUGGCGGUCCAGGCAUGCAUCCUGGCAUGCACGGUAUGCAUAAUGGCUUGGGUUCGGAAUCUUCUCAGGGUGACUAUGAUGACCAAAUGGAUUGUGGAGAUGACUUUGACGAUGAUAUGUCCUCUGAUCAUAUGUCCAAUAGUAAUGAUUUGGAACCGGGUAGUGAGAGACCAAAGUCAACUGAUGAUUUUAAGGGUUUGCUGUUCGAGCAGAAGCUAAGAAUAGAUCCUACUGGAGUGGUUAAUACAAACCCCAGACCUCAGUCGGCCACCUCUAAUCCAAAUUCAGUAAGUUCACCUCCCACCAGCCCAACAACUGCAGCAAAACCUUUGAGUUCUACACGCGCUACUUCACCAGCCAGAUCAGCUUCCGAAAUGUCACAAGGAGCUUUAGAUUUGACACCACGUGCUGGACCCUCCUCGGCCAAUAGCAGCAUUAGCGCCCGCUCACCACUACCUAGUAAUGCCGGCAAACGUUCACCUUCUCCCGUUAGCAAAUCUCCAAAACUACCACAAAUCAGCCCCUCAGCCGUCAUGCCACCAACUUCUGCUGUCGAUUGUCUACCACCCGGCCUGCAUCACCACUUGCAGCAACAACAUCAACAACUAAUGCAACAGCAAGCAGCCUUGGCUGCCGCUCAACAUCACCAGCAAAUGCAACAUAAUGCCGUCGUAGCCAUGCAUCAAGAACAACUAAGACGCGAAGCAGUUGCACAUGCGCAACUCUCACCGAAUGCCCCACCAUCGAUGUCACAGCAGCCACCAACGGGACAAGCUUCAGCCACCAGCUCACCGCAAAUGCCCCAUCCACAAGCGGGAAAUCCAUUGGUAGCAGCUGCCAGACCACCAUUUGGCAUGUUUCCAAAUCUCCCGCUGUUUCCACCGGCUUCCACGCAAAACAUGUGCACCGCAAUGAAUUCAAUAGCACAGUCUGUUAUGCCGGCGGCACCAUUUAAUCCUUUAGCUCUAUCGGGUGAGUUGAGUCAGAGGCAGCACUACUUGCGGCAUUUGUUUCAAAACAUUCCCCUGCCAUUCGGCUUUGGAGAUUCAUUAUAGAAGUCAUACUAAAGAGAGACCAUUUAAAUGUAAUAUAUGUGAUCGUGGUUUUACAACAAAGGGUAACUUAAAACAACACAUGCUUACCCAUAAAAUUCGUGAUAUGGAACAGGAAACUUUCCGAAAUAGAGCUGUCAAGUAUAUGAGUGGUGGCAAAGAAGAUUGAAAUUAUUUUCACCACACAUUCUCUGCUUUAGAGUUCCCAAACAUAUCCUCCCCUUACCCCACCCCCUAGUUACCAAAGCUGUAAAGGGUAAAAUAAAACUUUUCAUCAAAGUCAAAUCUGUAAAACAAGAUUUAACAAAAAAAUUUAUAUAAAAUAUUAAAAAACAAACAUAAAUAUUGUUUAAAACAAGGAGAGUAAUGAAAACCCUUGCAAAGCUCUCUCUCUCUGACUCCCCCUCUCCGCGUAUACACCAACAAACAAAUACACUUUUACUUAAAACACUCGCGUAUAAAUGAUCUCACUGAUACAAAGCAGAUAACGAUGAUAAAAAAGAAUAACAACAAAACAGACUCUCUUUCGUUGUGUGUGAUGAUGAUGAUGACGACAACAGCAACAACGAUGAUGAUGAGAUGAUGACUUUUGUUUCUUUUUGUGAUUUUAAAGAAAAUAUGAUUGUAACAACAAAAACAAAACAUAUAAAUACACAGGGUUUGCUGGGUAGUGGGUUGGUUGACUGCUGCGUUAUUGUAAUGACGUUGUGUCUUGCUGCUAAUAGUAAGUCGUCUGUCUGUCAGACUGUAGUUUAUGUUUUGCUCACAUACUAGUUGUACAAAACACUAACACUACAAAGUACUAACACAGCUAAAAGUCUACCUACACCUUUAAUGAAGAUGAAUGUUUUAAAUAUUAAAUGAUGUAUAAAUGUAUAAAUAAUAAAUAAAAAAAAAACAACAACUUUAAACAAAACAUUUAUAAGAUGAAUGAAUAAAGAAAAGAAAUCAUAAAAAAAUUAAAUAUUUCAAACAGAAUGAAGCAAAAAUAUAAAAAAACACAUAAUGAAAAUGAUUGAAAACA